GGUGAGGGGGGGGGGGUUGGGAAAUUAGAUCGAUGCCUGGGUCUCGGAUACCAUGUAGAGAAACAGGGUUGAGGGCAAUUGGCCACACCUCAAUGAGAGGGGGGCACCUUCUAUUAUAUAGAGCUGGCUGGCCUGCUUUACAAGGCAGGGAUAAUUCCCCUGAUUUACAUCUGCUAUAUCUAGCAACUAAUCCCUGAUUUACAUCUACUAUCUAUAGCAGCUAGGAUUCUAUCCCUGAUUUACAUCUGCUAUCUAUAGCAGCUAGGAUAUCCACAGAUGGCAUAUUCUAUUGCCUAACAGUGAUUACCCCCGAAUAGUGGCAAAACGCCCUCCGAGAAAUUCCACAUAAGUGAGAGACCCGUAGUGGGCCCAGCUGGUGCAAAUUUGGCAUCAGUAGGGCCUGCAACUCGGGAGCCAAGCUCCUGAAGCGCAGGUCCCGGGGCCAUGUAGGACCAGCACCCACACACUAUGGACCACACCCUCAGGCAGAAAGGCAUAGGUAGUAUGGACCCGGUGCUACGUGACGGUCCCAGGCAAGAUGACCCCAAGAACGACGGGUGGGACGACUCUGGUUCCAUGUGCGACUCUGACCACAUCAGCCUUGUGGCGCCUAGCAAGGAUAUAAGUCUCAUGUUCAUCACAUUUAAUGUGAUGAAAGGCAUAGGUAGUAUGAACCCGGUGCUACGUGACGGUCCCAGGCAAGAUGACCCCAAGAACGACGGGUGGGACGACUCUGGUUCCAUGUGCGACUCUGACCACAUCAGCCUUGUGGCGCCUAGCAAGGAUAUAAGUCUCAUGUUCAUCACAUUUAAUGUGAUG
This 819-nucleotide unclassified non-coding RNA is filed under the name Zea mays. RNAcentral's name for it is "misc RNA Zm00001eb270790". The record is from RNAcentral. Lineage: Eukaryota; Viridiplantae; Streptophyta; Magnoliopsida; Poales; Poaceae.